UGCCAGCAGCCGCGGUAAUACGGAGGAUCCAAGCGUUAUCCGGAAUCAUUGGGUUUAAAGGGUCCGUAGGCGGUUUAAUAAGUCAGUGGUGAAAGCCCAUCGCUCAACGGUGGAACGGCCAUUGAUACUGUUAAACUUGAAUUAUUAGGAAGUAACUAGAAUAUGUAGUGUAGCGGUGAAAUGCUUAGAGAUUACAUGGAAUACCAAUUGCGAAGGCAGGUUACUACUAAUGGAUUGACGCUGAUGGACGAAAGCGUGGGUAGCGAACAGGAUUAGAUACCCUGGUAGUCCACGCCGUAAACGAUGGAUACUAGCUGUUGGGGGCAACUUCAGUGGCUAAGCGAAAGUGAUAAGUAUCCCACCUGGGGAGUACGUUCGCAAGAAUGAAACUCAAAGGAAUUGACGG
Molecule: ribosomal RNA, 406 nt
Filed under: uncultured Flavobacteriaceae bacterium
Lineage: Bacteria; Pseudomonadati; Bacteroidota; Flavobacteriia; Flavobacteriales; Flavobacteriaceae
Description: bacterial SSU rRNA
Rfam family: Bacterial small subunit ribosomal RNA
Source: RNAcentral